This 255-nucleotide ribosomal RNA is filed under the name uncultured bacterium. Its description in RNAcentral is "partial 16S ribosomal RNA". It matches the Rfam family "Bacterial small subunit ribosomal RNA", at positions 524 to 776 of the family's 1533-position model. The record is from RNAcentral.
UACGUAGGGCGCAAGCGUUGUCCGGAAUACUGGCGUAAAGCGUGCGCAGGCGGCUUGCCAAGUCAGAUGUGAAAGCCCCGGGCUCAACCCCGGGGAACUGCGUUUGAAACUGGCAGGCUAGAGUUUGGCAGAGGGGGGUGGAAUUCCGACGGUGUAGCAGUGAAAUGCGUAGAGAUGUGGAGGAACACCGAUGGCGAAGGCAGCCCCCUGGGCCAAAACUGACGCUCAGGCACGAAAGCGGUGGGAGCAAACAGG